Molecule: ribosomal RNA, 253 nt
Filed under: uncultured bacterium
Lineage: Bacteria
Description: partial 16S ribosomal RNA
Rfam family: Bacterial small subunit ribosomal RNA
Source: RNAcentral
UACGGAGGGUGCAAACGUUGCUCGGAAUCAUUGGGCGUAAAGGGUGCGUAGGCGGUCUGACAAGUCUGAUGUGAAAUCUAUGGGCUCAACCCAUAGUCUGCAUCGGAAACUGUCGGGCUUGAGUAUGGGAGAGGUGAGUGGAAUUUCCGGUGUAGCGGUGAAAUGCGUAGAUAUCGGAAGGAACACCUGUGGCGAAAGCGGCUCACUGGACCAUUACUGACGCUGAGGCACGAAAGCUAGGGGAGCAAACAGG